CGUGUGUUCGCGCGUUCACUGGCCGGGUCCGUUGUCCCGGAAAGCUGCUAGAGGGUCGGUGGGCGGGCAUAGGGUUGGGGGUGAGUCCUCAGAGACCGCGAGGAGGAAAAGGAAGGGAAACAUUAGGUCCUGAUCGGCUGGAACGUCCCUUGACAGUCUCUAAACAGGUAGUUAACAGUCCCAAGGCGCUCAGUAGAAUCACCUGAAGACAUUUAUUUUCUAAACCCUAACCCUAACCCAGGCAGCACCGUAGAUCAAUGAAAAGAUAACUGAUAAGGAAUGCGACCCAGUACUAAUUCUUCUAGAGAUAGGCUUUUCCCCUUGCCUUUGCUGCAAACAAUUUAGCAUGACUCCCAAAUUCUUCCAGAGGCAAUAUUUCUAAGCUUCUUCUUUUUCCCACUGACCCAGAGGAGAUUUUGGACCUUACUCCUUUUCUUUGCCUUGCCCAUUCUCUAUGGAAAACAUUGCUCUGGCAAAUUGGUUUACCUGCACUUCUGUGGCACAGAAUCAAGAGGAAAAGGGAAGAAUGCCCAGGUGCUUUUUAAGGAGGCAAAGAAACUGACCCAUCUCCUCGGGUUCCAUUUCUCAGAACAGCAACUGUCACGCUUCUCAUCUGCAGUGGUACUAAGCAACUAAACAAUGUGAGAAUCUUGUGACUGUCCAGCUAAUGGGAUAAAACUCACCUCUCCGAGCUCUGAGAUCUGCUUGCUCACUGUGGGGAGCUUUCUUCCCUCAGUCUUGCUGAGUUAACAUUUAUACUAAAUCGCUUGAAAUCAAAUUGUCGAGAUCUUAUCAACACUUGAUUGCAAUGACCUUCUUGGCUGACCCUUGACUAAUGUAACCCUGUCCUAAUGUUCCAAUUAAAAUCGCAUCAAAUAAGUGAAAUUGGAUUUUCCUUUGCAGU
Molecule: long non-coding RNA, 904 nt
Organism: Mustela erminea (ermine)
Lineage: Eukaryota; Metazoa; Chordata; Mammalia; Carnivora; Mustelidae
Exons: 4
Source: RefSeq, a predicted model, not a curated record